CCGAUGACAGCGCCAAUGUCCCAGAUGGCACGCAAUGCACGACUGAAGAAGAGUACCAAGACAGGACCUGGGCUGAACGUCGUUUCCAGUCCGGCCUGAGAACGGGGACGUGGCUUCGUAGGUUUUGGAUACGGCAGAGGAAGUCUGGUGCCAGAGCAAAAUGCUAAUCACACAUCACACAUCGGUCCCUUUCCACGUUCAUUUCUUCAAACCAAACUUGGAAGUCUUCGUCGCAUGCGCUUGGCAGCAUGACUCCACCAACAGCCAGAAACUGAGCGUCUCAGCACAUGUAGAAUCGCUACACGUUCCGUGUCCGUAGCUCGGCGGCGGCCUCGCGCUGGUCCUAAGUACUGAACAUUACUCGGGGAGCACGAAAGGAAAGACUUUACCGUCUGCUCUGAGACUUGGCAGACAGGAUGGCAGGCCCUGCCAACACAGCUGUCUGGCCGGCCGGUCACUCAGCCAACGACGCUCCCCGCUUGCCUGCGUCACGGCAGCCGGGCACAUCAGGACAAAAAGGUGGAAACGAACGCAAGAAAAACAGGCCGGGGUUCAGAGGCGCUUUCGGAGUGUGAGGGCUUUACA
Molecule: long non-coding RNA, 585 nt
Organism: Esox lucius (northern pike)
Lineage: Eukaryota; Metazoa; Chordata; Actinopteri; Esociformes; Esocidae
Exons: 3
Source: RefSeq, a predicted model, not a curated record